RNAcentral lists this small RNA (139 nucleotides) under Desulfobacca acetoxidans. Its description in RNAcentral is "c-di-AMP sequence". It matches the Rfam family "c-di-AMP riboswitch aptamer (ydaO/yuaA leader)". Rfam says of the family: This family represents a conserved RNA structure found upstream of the ydaO and yuaA genes in Bacillus subtilis and related genes in other bacteria. The ydaO/yuaA element is thought to act as a genetic "off" switch for the ydaO and yuaA genes in its native state. It is believed that the element may be triggered during osmotic shock leading to activation of ydaO, a predicted amino acid transporter gene, and members of the yuaA-yubG operon which code for KtrA and KtrB K+ transporters. The record is from RNAcentral. RNAcentral also lists the same sequence under 1 other name. Lineage: Bacteria; Pseudomonadati; Thermodesulfobacteriota; Desulfobaccia; Desulfobaccales; Desulfobaccaceae.
CUAUACUAACAGCCGAAAUCCAUGGUCAAACUAUGGGUGCGGGGGAACCGGGUAUUAGGGGCGUAUCGCCGUCCGGCGUAGGACAACCUCAUCGGUCCAAGCCCUGCAGCUAACCUCGUAGGCGUCGAUGGGGAGAGAC